GCCGCAGCUUGGGAGGGGGGAGACGCGAAACGCGGCCUCUUCCCACGCGGGGGCGGCCGCAGUCGUGCGGGGCCGGAGCUGGCGCAGGAAGCGCGGAGAGUUGACCUUAAGCGGAGCAUGGAGAGGUAAAGCAGUAUUCGGAGAGGAGAAUCAGGCCCAUCCCAUGGAAGCGUCCAGUUGCACUGGUGUUCUGAAACACCAUCAGUGGCUGUCUUGAUAUUAGGUGUACGGAGCUAAGCGUGAAUUCAGCUAUCCCGUGAGACACUAGUUGCCUGGAUACCUUGAAUCCUUUCGAGAAGCUUGUUUUAAAAACCGAGGAUGACUGUCAUAUACUACUUUUUCCAUUGAACGAAGGCCUUAUUGAGUGCACUGAACGGAUACUGCUGAUCUGAAACUGAUCC
Long non-coding RNA from Rhea pennata, 401 nucleotides. RefSeq lists it as uncharacterized. NCBI's taxonomy places the organism in Eukaryota, Metazoa, Chordata, Aves, Rheiformes, Rheidae. The record is from RefSeq and is a predicted model, not a curated record. The transcript has 3 exons.